AUUGAACGCUGGCGGCAGGCCUAACACAUGCAAGUCGAACGGUAACAGGAAUCAGCUUGCUGAUUCGCUGACGAGUGGCGGACGGGUGAGUAAUGUCUGGGAAACUGCCUGAUGGAGGGGGAUAACUACUGGAAACGGUAGCUAAUACCGCAUAACGUCGCAAGACCAAAGAGGGGGACCUUCGGGCCUCUUGCCAUCGGAUGUGCCCAGAUGGGAUUAGCUAGUAGGUGGGGUAAAGGCUCACCUAGGCGACGAUCCCUAGCUGGUCUGAGAGGAUGACCAGCCACACUGGAACUGAGACACGGUCCAGACUCCUACGGGAGGCAGCAGUGGGGAAUAUUGCACAAUGGGCGCAAGCCUGAUGCAGCCAUGCCGCGUGUAUGAAGAAGGCCUUCGGGUUGUAAAGUACUUUCAGCGGGGAGGAAGGGAGUAAAGUUAAUACCUUUGCUCAUUGACGUUACCCGCAGAAGAAGCACCGGCUAACUCCGUGCCAGCAGCCGCGGUAAUACGGAGGGUGCAAGCGUUAAUCGGAAUUACUGGGCGUAAAGCGCACGCAGGCGGUUUGUUAAGUCAGAUGUGAAAUCCCCGGGCUCAACCUGGGAACUGCAUCUGAUACUGGCAAGCUUGAGUCUCGUAGAGGGGGGUAGAAUUCCAGGUGUAGCGGUGAAAUGCGUAGAGAUCUGGAGGAAUACCGGUGGCGAAGGCGGCCCCCUGGACGAAGACUGACGCUCAGGUGCGAAAGCGUGGGGAGCAAACAGG
RNAcentral lists this ribosomal RNA (759 nucleotides) under uncultured Enterobacteriaceae bacterium. Its description in RNAcentral is "bacterial SSU rRNA". It matches the Rfam family "Bacterial small subunit ribosomal RNA", at positions 28 to 776 of the family's 1533-position model. Lineage: Bacteria; Pseudomonadati; Pseudomonadota; Gammaproteobacteria; Enterobacterales; Enterobacteriaceae. The record is from RNAcentral.